GCGCGGUGUUCCUCACAACGGAUCGUCCGGCACGUUCCUGCCGGUGACGGAAGGCAAGA
This is a regulatory RNA element of Luteipulveratus mongoliensis, 59 nucleotides long. It matches the Rfam family "msiK RNA". Lineage: Bacteria; Bacillati; Actinomycetota; Actinomycetes; Micrococcales; Dermacoccaceae. The record is from Rfam.